UGGGGAAUAUUGGACAAUGGGCGAAAGCCUGAUCCAGCCAUGCCGCGUGUGUGAAGAAGGCCUUUUGGUUGUAAAGCACUUUAAGCGAGGAGGAGGCUACUUGGAUUAAUGCUCUAGGAUAGUGGACGUUACUCGCAGAAUAAGCACCGGCUAACUCUGUGCCAGCAGCCGCGGUAAUACAGAGGGUGCGAGCGUUAAUCGGAUUUACUGGGCGUAAAGCGUGCGUAGGCGGCUUCUUAAGUCGGAUGUGAAAUCCCUGAGCUUAACUUAGGAAUUGCAUUCGAUACUGGGAAGCUAGAGUAUGGGAGAGGAUGGUAGAAUUCCAGGUGUAGCGGUGAAAUGCGUAGAGAUCUGGAGGAAUACCGAUGGCGAAGGCAGCCAUCUGGCCUAAUACUGACGCUGAGGUACGAAAGCAUGGGGAGCAAACAGG
RNAcentral lists this ribosomal RNA (430 nucleotides) under Acidobacteriota bacterium. Its description in RNAcentral is "Acidobacteria bacterium partial 16S ribosomal RNA". It matches the Rfam family "Bacterial small subunit ribosomal RNA", at positions 355 to 776 of the family's 1533-position model. The record is from RNAcentral. Lineage: Bacteria; Pseudomonadati; Acidobacteriota.